AUUGAACGCUGGCAGCAGGCCUAACACAUGCAAGUCGAGCGGAUGAAGGGAGCUUGCUCCUGGAUUCAGCGGCGGAUGGGUGAGUAAUGCCUAGGAAUCUGCCUGGUAGUGGGGGAUAACGUCCGGAAACGGGCGCUAAUACCGCAUACGUCCUGAGGGAGAAAGUGGGGGAUCUUCGGACCUCACGCUAUCAGAUGAGCCUAGGUCGGAUUAGCUAGUUGGUGGGGUAAAGGCCUACCAAGGCGACGAUCCGUAACUGGUCUGAGAGGAUGAUCAGUCACACUGGAACUGAGACACGGUCCAGACUCCUACGGGAGGCAGCAGUGGGGAAUAUUGGACAAUGGGCGAAAGCCUGAUCCAGCCAUGCCGCGUGUGUGAAGAAGGUCUUCGGAUUGUAAAGCACUUUAAGUUGGGAGGAAGGGCAGUAAGUUAAUACCUUGCUGUUUUGACGUUACCAACAGAAUAAGCACCGGCUAACUUCGUG
RNAcentral lists this ribosomal RNA (484 nucleotides) under uncultured bacterium. RNAcentral's name for it is "partial 16S ribosomal RNA". It matches the Rfam family "Bacterial small subunit ribosomal RNA", at positions 30 to 507 of the family's 1533-position model. The record is from RNAcentral.